CAGCCGCCGCGGUAAUACGAAGGGGGCUAGCGUUGCUCGGAAUUACUGGGCGUAAAGGGUGCGUAGGCGGGUCUUUAAGUCAGAGGUGAAAUCCUGGAGCUCAACUCCAGAACUGCCUUUGAUACUGAAAGUCUUGAGUAUGGGAGAGGUGAGUGGAACUGCGAGUGUAGAGGUGAAAUUCGUAGAUAUUCGCAAGAACACCAGUGGCGAAGGCGGCUCACUGGCCCAUAACUGAAGCUGAGGCACGAAAGCGUGGGGAGCGAACAGGAUUAGAUACCCCCGUAGUCCCUGUCUCUUAUAC
This 301-nucleotide ribosomal RNA is filed under the name uncultured bacterium. RNAcentral's name for it is "partial 16S ribosomal RNA". It matches the Rfam family "Bacterial small subunit ribosomal RNA", at positions 509 to 807 of the family's 1533-position model. The record is from RNAcentral.